AGAGUUUGAUUCUGGCUCAGAACGAACGCUGGCAGCGUGGAUUAGGCAUGCAAGUCGAACGAGAAUCCGCGGUUUCAAUCUUCGGAGAGAACUCGCGGUGGAAAGUGGCGGAAGGGUGAGUAACGCGUGGGUAACCUGCCCCUGAGUUGGGGACAACUCGCCGAAAGGCGGGCUAAUACCGAAUACGGUGCUCCGGCGCAUGUCGGGGAUACCAAAGGUGGGGAUCCUUCGGGACCUGUCGCUCGGGGAGGGACCCGCGUACCAUCAGCUUGUUGGUGGGGUAACGGCCUACCAAGGCUUACGGUUAGCUGGUCUGAGAGGAUGAUCAGCCACACUGGGACUGAGACACUGCCCAGACUCCUACGGGAGGCUGCAGUCGAGGAUCAUUGUCAAUGCGCGGAAGCGUGAACAUGCGACGCUGCGUGGAGGAUGACGGCCUUCGGGUUGUAAACUCCUGUCAUUCGGGAAUAACGGCUCUGCAGUUAAUAGCUGCGGGGUGUGAAGGUACCGGAAGAGGAAGCCACGGCUAACUCUGUGCCAGCAGCCGCGGUAAUACAGAGGUGGCAAGCGUUGUUCGGAUUUACUGGGCGUAAAGGGUGCGUAGGUGGUUUUGUGUGUCGGGCGUGAAAUCCCAUUGCUUAACGGUGGAACUGCGUUCGGAACUGCAAGACUUGAGUGCAGGAGGGGAGAGCGGAAUUCUUGGUGUAGCGGUGAAAUGCGUUGAUAUCAAGAAGAACACCGGUGGCGAAGGCGGCUCUCUGGAAUGUUACUGACACUGAGGCACGAAAGCUGGGGGAGCGAACAGGAUUAGAUACCCUGGUAGUCCCAGCCGUAAACGGUGUGCACUUGGUGUGGGCGGUAUUGACCCCGUCCGUGCCGUAGCUAACGCGUUAAGUGCACCGCCUGGGGAGUACGAUCGCAAGAUUAAAACUCAAAGAAAUUGACGGGGGCCCGCACAAGCGGAGGAGCAUGUGGCUUAAUUCGAUGCAACGCGAAGAACCUUACCAGGGCUUGACAUAUAGCUGCACGCCCGCCGAAAGGUGGGAAGCCUUCGAGGGUGCUAUACAGGUGCUGCAUGGCUGUCGUCAGUUCGUGCCGUGAGGUGUUGGGUUAAGUCCCGCAACGAACGCAACCCUUGUGGUUAGUUGCUACCGCAGGUGAUGAGCCUGCGGGCACUCUAACCAGACUGCCCGUACAAGCGGGAGGAAGGUGGGGAUGACGUCAAGUCAGUAUGGCCCUUACGUCCUGGGCUGCACACGUGCUACAAUGGUCGGUACAGUGGGAAGCAAUGCCGCGAGGUGGAGCAAAUCCUCAAAACCGGCCUCAGUUCGGAUUGGAGUCUGCAACUCGACUCCAUGAAGCUGGAUUCGCUAGUAACGGCGUAUCAGCUACGGCGCCGUGAAUACGUUCCCGGGCCUUGUACACACCGCCCGUCACAUCAUGAAAGCCGUCUGCACCCGAAGUCGCUGAGCCAACCCGCAAGGGAGGCAGGUUCCGAAGGUGUGGGUGGUGAUUGGGAUGAAGUCGUAACAAGGUA
RNAcentral lists this ribosomal RNA (1537 nucleotides) under metagenome. RNAcentral's name for it is "bacterial SSU rRNA". It matches the Rfam family "Bacterial small subunit ribosomal RNA". The record is from RNAcentral.